UACGUAGGGUGCAGGCGUUAAUCGGAAUUACUGGGCGUAAAGCGUGCGCAGGCGGUUUCUUAAGUCAGAUGUGAAAGCCCCGGGCUUAACCUGGGAACUGCGUUUGAAACUGGGAGACUUGAGUGUGGCAGAGGGGGGUGGAAUUCCGACGUGUAGCAGUGAAAUGCGUAGAUAUGUGGAGGAACACCGAUGGCGAAGGCAGCCCCCUGGGCCUGUACUGACGCUCAUGCACGAAAGCGUGGGGAGCAACAGG
Molecule: ribosomal RNA, 253 nt
Filed under: uncultured bacterium
Lineage: Bacteria
Description: partial 16S ribosomal RNA
Rfam family: Bacterial small subunit ribosomal RNA
Source: RNAcentral